GAUGAACGCUAGCGGCAGGCUUAACACAUGCAAGUCGAGGGGUAACAGGAAUAGCUUGCUAUUUGCUGACGACCGGCGCACGGGUGCGUAACUCGUAUGCAACCUACCUUUUACUGGAGAAUAGCCUUUAGAAAUGAAGAUUAAUACUCCAUAAUAAUGAUAACUCACAUGAGUUGUUGUUUAAAGUUUCGGCGGUAAAAGAUGGGCAUGCGUUUUAUUAGUUAGUUGGUAAGGUAACGGCUUACCAAGACUACGAUAAAUAGGGGUCCUGAGAGGGAGAUCCCCCACACUGGUACUGAGACACGGACCAGACUCCUACGGGAGGCAGCAGUGAGGAAUAUUGGACAAUGGAGGCAACUCUGAUCCAGCCAUGCCGCGUGCAGGAAGACGGCCCUAUGGGUUGUAAACUGCUUUUAUACAGGAAGAAACCUCCCCACGUGUGGGGAGCUGACGGUACUGUAAGAAUGAGCACCGGCUAACUCCGUGCCAGCAGCCGCGGUAAUACGGAGGGUGCAAGCGUUAUCCGGAAUCAUUGGGUUUAAAGGGUCCGUAGGCGGACUAUUAAGUCAGAGGUGAAAUCCCACAGCUCAACUGUGGAACUGCCUUUGAUACUGGUAGUCUUGAGUUAUAUGGAAGUAGAUAGAAUGUGUAGUGUAGCGGUGAAAUGCAUAGAUAUUACACAGAAUACCGAUUGCGAAGGCAGUCUACUACGUAUAUACUGACGCUAAGGGACGAAAGCGUGGGGAGCGGACAGGAUUAGAUACCCUGGUAGUCCACGCCGUAAACGAUGGAUACUAGUUGUUGGAUUUAUUCAGUGACUAAGCGAAAGUGAUAAGUAUCCCACCUGGGGAGUACGGUCGCAAGACUGAAACUCAAAGGAAUUGACGG
This 888-nucleotide ribosomal RNA is filed under the name uncultured Bacteroidota bacterium. Its description in RNAcentral is "bacterial SSU rRNA". It matches the Rfam family "Bacterial small subunit ribosomal RNA", at positions 28 to 916 of the family's 1533-position model. Lineage: Bacteria; Pseudomonadati; Bacteroidota. The record is from RNAcentral.